Molecule: RNA transcript, 2572 nt
Organism: Triplophysa rosa
Lineage: Eukaryota; Metazoa; Chordata; Actinopteri; Cypriniformes; Nemacheilidae
Exons: 12
Source: RefSeq, a predicted model, not a curated record
UGGCAGUUUCUUCGCACUCCAUAAUAGGGAUUCCCUGGUCUCAGGCUUUAUUCAGCCUUUACCUCCUUCUAAAGGAUUCAUGCAGGCAGCUGGUCAAAUUUCUGUUAAACAACUUGUUCGACUGCUGCCUGUAGAAAUACCAGCCUGUAUUUGUGAUUGCAGUAAUGGGACAGUCCUUGUUUCUUCUGCCAGGCCCAUGAUCCUGAUUACUAUGAAUGGAAAGGAAUCUUUUACAUAUAUUUUUAAGAUAGUUAUUACUUUUAUAAAUCUUAUCUUGUAUAGCUUGUUUUCCUUCUUUAGGUCGUUACAACCUUACCAUGCCUCACUUGUCCUGUGCUGUGUGUGGAUAUUCACGCGGGCCAUCCUUAUCAGAACUUCAGACGAGUGGUUACUGGCCUGGCAACAUUCCUGCAAGUACACUGUAUAACACAGAUGUGCUUGUCUCGUUUAGAGAGAUGAAAAUGGCAUCACCAGGGAUGUCUUAUCAAGCAUUUGUUAAAAUGCUUGAUGAGAAAACAAAACUCUUUGGUCGUAGUGGAAAAAUAUCGGCCAAUGUAUUCAGCUGCAGUUUCAAUGAAUGGGUUGCAGCAAGAUAUGAAGUGGAGAAGAUGUGCCAGGAGGAGUUUUUCACUUGUCCAGCAUGCACUCCAGACAUGCUAGCUGUGUCUGUUGAUGGAAAUCGCAAACACUAUCGUUUUAAAAAUACAGCAAGAGAAAAGGGGACUAUUUGACCAACUUUUUAUACAGAGUGAUGUGGAGGUGUCUGGCUUUGUGGACUUUAUUCACAAAAACAAUAAUCACGUUUCAGGGAGAGGACUGUGUGGAGCAUCACACUGGACAGCAGCAAAAGAAUCAUCCAAAAAAUCAAGCAGUAAACUGGAUGAGGAGGGAUUAGAAAUCGCUGUAUGUCGCCAUGGAAUUCUCCUCAUGGCCUUAAAUAUGUUUCGAGGGGAAAUAUUUGCAUACCCACUUUUUCUUCAGAAAAAAACUUGCAGAAAGGUCACAAGGAAACAUCAAAUUCUUUUGCUCGGAUGUCGCUUGCAAGUACUUCCCAUAUCUACAAAGAGUAUCUAAAAACUGCCCCGAGCUUCAGUCUUUACUGGACAUGCUCCCUUUUCUGUCUGUAAUGCAUGCUAAAGCGCACUCUUGGAAAUGUGAGGUCAAGUAUGGUGGUGCCUAUCAGGAAGGAGCUGGGUCAACUAUUGGUGAAGAAGUGGAACAGGUGAACAGUUUUAUAUCUAGGAUUGCUAUUACUACCAAGUACAUGUCGAAAUCAGGUCGUGCAGACAUGAUUACAAUGCAGGCCAUGUCCUGGAAUAAGCGUAAGCUUCUCAAUUUGGGACAGGCUUUAGUUCAUUGAUAUUUAAAGACUCAAAAAGCUUUGCAAGAGCAACAGUGCAUCUUGGGUGCACUAAAGACAGAGCUGGAUCUGCAUGAUGAUUGUGUAGUUCAUCAGUGGGUUUCAGACAUACAGCAGUGGGCUGAAGAAAAUGACAGAUAUGGAAGUGGUGAUCUGAAAAGAUUACAAGAGGAAAUAGAGGGGCUGACAGUGAGCAUCAAAAGGCGAACACAGCGUCUGUACAGUCAAACAGAUAGCAACAAGCGUCGCCACUCUUUGCGUCAUCGAAGGAAUGAGGAAAAGAAGAAGCUGGCUGCUGCAGUGGAAGAAUACAACAGCAUUGCCGAUUCUUCACAGCAGCUUGGUUCAGUUGAAGACUUCUUUAUAGCUGAGACUGUUGCUUGGCCAUGGCAAAUUCCCGGAAAUACUGAAUCUGUGCCUUUUCUCACCAAGAGGAAGGUGUUUGACCGAGUGAUGGCAGUAAGACGACUUCAGGAAGAAAAAAGUCUCAUUUGUAAGGAGAUGCAACAGCACUGGAUGGUCCUGACACAAAAGUCGUCCAAGCUUGAAGCACUGAUCAGUGAAAUAAGUUCUAAAACUGUUAUUUCUACCCUCUCUGACGCUGCACGCAAGGGGCUCCUGUGCAUUGUUCGAAAGAAACGACAUGAUCUGAAACAUUUAAUGCAGCUUGUAAGGGCAGGCUAUAUGAACAUUUUCAGCCAAGAAGACAUGAUGUCUGAAGAAUCUGAGCUUGAACAGGAAGAGGAAGUACAAAAGGAGCUCUCAGAAAGCAACAGCAGCUCAGAUGAUGACUAAAAUUUACAGUAAAUAAGUUGAAUAUAUUAAGGCACAUUUAACUUCUGUAAAUGGAAAACCAAAAAUUCAUGAUGUAUGAUGCUAGGUGUUGACUUUACACAAUUAUGCACUUCAUAAACAGAUUUUUUUCAGCACAAGUGACAUUCUAUAUGUAACCAUGUAAUGAGUUUGUAGCGUUUUUCAAAAAAUGUUGUUUUCUCUGCUGGUUUGUGUAUCCCCUGCAUAUUAUACUAUAUGCACAUUUUUACACAUUAACAUGAUGAUAAAGCACGCUUGUUGUUCAUGUAUUCAUCAUUUGGUCCUCGAUUUAUGCUGUUUUAAAGUCAGUAAAGUCUGAAUAUAUACAGUACUGUAUGUUUUGUUUGUUUCUUCAUUGGUGGGAAAAGUUGUUCACACAAUGACACAUUUGUGUUUGUC